Molecule: long non-coding RNA, 851 nt
Filed under: Linum usitatissimum (flax)
Lineage: Eukaryota; Viridiplantae; Streptophyta; Magnoliopsida; Malpighiales; Linaceae
Description: long non-coding RNA (LUSI_LNC005687)
Source: RNAcentral
CAAUUCUUUCAAAACAUAUGACCCUGCUGAUUAGACACAUUUCUCCCAAUGUUAUUUGUUAGUAGAUGGCGUUGCAGAUCAGUGGUAUAGCAGGAGGAGUACUGAGUCUGAGGAUUCACCAACAUAGUAAAAAUGGUGUAGCAAGACCAUCACUCUCCUUCAGUACCAGACCAAAAGGUCCAGCUCCACCACCCAUGUCGUUCGAUUUCGAAAUGCGCACACACUUGUCAUGGCGACACCAUCCGGUUCCAAUCCUAAUACCACUAGGACUUCUGGAGGAGAGGAGAAAGUGAAGAAGCAGCAGCCAAUAUCAAAGACGACUGGUGUGGGUGGUGAGGGGCCUCCAUUGGCCACAAUAAUAGCAGGGUUUGUGGUGUUCUUUGGAAUUUGUUGGGUUUUAUUUACUGUAGUUGGUUGUUCAAUCUUAUUGUUACACCACCUCCUCUUAAAUAGAAUCCCCUCUCUUUUUCGUUCUACAUGAUGUGUAAUGAACCAGAGCUUUUAUUGCCAAGUUCUGUGAGAGAUCUUCUGAUUCCCUUGUGGUAUUCUUUCUAACUCGAUAUGCCCUGUGAAUCAAACAAUGAACUGACUGGGAAAAAACCAGCACACCAGCAACCAUGGACACCUGUACUGAGUUAACAGUCUUACUUGACAUGACAAAGAAAAAGAAAGGGCUGACAAUAGCUGUUAGCCUAUUAUUGAUGUAAUGAUGCUUAGGCCAUAUGAAUUUAAAUGUUUUUUCUCUUUACUGUUGUAAUUGUAAGAGUUUUCUUUUCACUAAGGAGAGGUGAUUGCAGGUACUGAUUACUGAAUCUCGUGGAUUGCAGAUGUAGAUACAGGGUCAAAUGUGG